GGCGGGAAUAUAACAAUAAGACGAGAAGACCCUAUGGAGCUUUAAUUAACCAGCCCAAAGAGAUCUUAAUAACCAACCGACAGGGUAUAACAAACCUCUACCAUGGGCUGACAAUUUAGGUUGGGGUGACCUCGGAGAAUAAAACAACCUCCGAGUGAUUUAAAUCUAGACUAACCAGUCGAAAGUAUUACAUCACUUAUU
This 201-nucleotide ribosomal RNA is filed under the name Panthera uncia (snow leopard). RNAcentral describes it as "partial large subunit ribosomal RNA". The record is from RNAcentral. Lineage: Eukaryota; Metazoa; Chordata; Mammalia; Carnivora; Felidae.